RNAcentral lists this long non-coding RNA (202 nucleotides) under Lathyrus oleraceus (garden pea). RNAcentral's name for it is "Pisum sativum (pea) long non-coding RNA (PSAT_LNC041459)". Lineage: Eukaryota; Viridiplantae; Streptophyta; Magnoliopsida; Fabales; Fabaceae. The record is from RNAcentral.
CAAGGGAAAGACUUGAGUUACUUCCAAUAGGGGUCUAUUCGUCUGUCAAAACGUUAAUCUUGAAGGAGCAAAGGUUGUUCAUGAGUUGUCAUGCUCGCUAGGCGAAGCCCACGUGUUUUGAAAAAAAAACGAAAAAAAAAACGAAAAAAAACGAAAAAAAAAUGAAUAAAUAAAUAAAUAAAAGAAAAUUUUUUGGACUUGG